RNAcentral lists this transfer RNA (63 nucleotides) under Klebsiella pneumoniae. RNAcentral's name for it is "tRNA-Arg". It matches the Rfam family "tRNA", at positions 6 to 65 of the family's 71-position model. Rfam says of the family: Transfer RNA (tRNA) molecules are approximately 80 nucleotides in length. Their secondary structure includes four short double-helical elements and three loops (D, anti-codon, and T loops). The record is from RNAcentral. Lineage: Bacteria; Pseudomonadati; Pseudomonadota; Gammaproteobacteria; Enterobacterales; Enterobacteriaceae. RNAcentral also lists the same sequence under 1 other name.
CGUAGCUCAGCUGGAUAGAGUACUCGGCUACGAACCGAGCGGUCGGAGGUUCGAAUCAUCCCG